RNAcentral lists this long non-coding RNA (1483 nucleotides) under Olea europaea (common olive). RNAcentral's name for it is "long non-coding RNA (OEUR_LNC000185)". Lineage: Eukaryota; Viridiplantae; Streptophyta; Magnoliopsida; Lamiales; Oleaceae. The record is from RNAcentral.
AGAAAUGAGGGCUCCAAAAUGGUAUGUUGGUUCGGUGGCCAACGUGGCCGGAGGUUGGAGUUAUGGUGGUCCAUAGUUAGCGGCUUCGGGUAGUCGAAAGUACCAAGGACAAAUUUUAGUUAGUUCAUGGGAUAGAAUCAAGUUUGAUUGGUUUUAGGGCCAAUCCAAAACCGAACUGAUCAAUUUAGUUUAAUUUAUUAUCCAACCGAAUCAACCCAAAACUGGGAAUAAAACCAAACUAUCUUCCGUCAGGUCAGUUCAGUUUAUUUGGUUUGGAGCUCUAGAAAUUGUUGUUUAGAAGCUUAGAGAGGUUAAUUGUGUAAUGAUUGAGUCGAACCUCAACUAAAACCAGCCAAAAUCACCACAAUGAAAUCACAAGAUGAAGAUAAUUAGCUGGGAUAUAACAACCCAAGCUUCAACUGUAUUGAUUGAACCAAAGUGAUCACAAUAAAGGAAAGAAUGAGAGAGAUAACAAAGAAUUGGGGAAGAAGAAAGAGGUCUAAAAUGCUAACAAUUUUCCACAAGUUCCCCUUCUUCCUCCAUUUAGUUAAGAGAAGAAACGUAUUUGUUGCUAGAACAUGUUCACAUGAUUACAAUUUAGACUUUAAAACAACGUCAUAUAGGAAUUUGAUUGGAAAAUUUGUUAAACCCGUUGGCUCUUGUUAUUCUUCUUUUCCCAUUUGAGCUCUACCUUUGCUAUCAUUUGUUGCUGAUUGUUACAUUCCUCCCCUUCAAUUGACCUUAUCCCCAACGCUUGAAAUUGAGGAUACUACUUUUGAAUGGUUGCAGACUCUUCCCAUCUAGCUUCGUCUAUGUUAGAAUUCUCCCAAUGGAUUAACCACUGAGUCAUAGCCUGGUUAUUUCGUUUGAUAAUACAGGUUUGUGAGACUAGUUUGCCACCUUCUGGCAUCAAUAGAAUAGGUACAUCUUUCUUCUGCAGUUUCUUCUUAAGUAAUGAAACAUGGAAAAUGGGGUAAAAUUUAGAAGUGGUAAUUACAGUUUAUAAACCACCUAUCCAAUCCUUCUGAUGAUUUGGUAAGGCCUAUAGUACCUGGCAGCUAAUUUCGAGUUGAUUCUCAUGACCACAGAUUACUGUCUGCAGGGUUGAAAUUUCAGAUAAAACGAUUUUCCUCUUGAAAUUCCUUCUCCAUCAUGUGUGAUCAGCAUAAAACUUCAUUGAUACUCUAGCUUGACCCAAAUACCCUUUUAACAAAAGGUCCAUCUGAUGUCUUUCUUGAACUAACUCCUCUACAGCUACCACAUUAGUUUGUUGAUAAGGUCCCAAUGCUAGCUGUGGUGGUUUAAUGUCAUAUAAGGCUUCAAAGGGAUGCAUCUUAAUGGUAGUAUGGCAGGUGGUGUUGUACCACCAUUAGCUAGAGAUAGCCUAUUAAACCAUUGUAUAGGCUGAUGAAAGGUGAAACAACUUAGGUACAUCUAUAAGCAUUGGUUGAGCUUUUUUGUUUGCGGGCGGUAAACAGAGUUU